AUGAAGCAGCCGGCGGCGAGCCCGGGGCGUGCGGAGAAGCCCCAGCAGCAGCAGCUGCCGGCGCCGCCGGGGCUGGCGCGGCUGCUGCUAAGCAAGAGCCGGCGCGGGGCGCGGUCGCGCCGCGCGCCGGCCACGUCGCCCAUGUUCGUGUCCCGGGGCCGGAGCCGCGCGGCGGCGGCGGCGGUGGGGGCGGACGGGGAGCCGUCGUCGCCCAAGGUCACCUGCAUUGGACAGGUGCGGAUGCGCAAGGGGAAGAAGGGCAGCAACAAGGGGCCGGCGGCGCCGCCCCCGCCACCGGCCAAGGAGGAGAAGGCCAGGGGCUACUGCCGGUGCCUCAAGAAGGCGUUCCUCUGCGGCGGGCUGUUCGACUUCGACCGCAAGCACAAGCGCAAGGGGCCUCCGCCGGAGGCGGAGCGGACUCGCCGGUCGCCCUGGGUGUUCAGCAGCAGGGACGUGGCCGUCGCCGCCGCGCCCAAGCCGCCGGAUCCGACGAGCGACCGCGCCGAGGAGGAGGGGGAGGACGACAAGUCCGUGGGGGCCUUCGGCUCGACGGAGAGAGACGAGAAGGCGAGUGACCCGGGGACCGACAGCGGUGGCAAGGAGGAGGAAGAGUGCGAGGAGGGGGAGACGGCGGAGCUCGUGUCGUCCGCGACGACCACGCCGCCCAAGAACGCUCUGCUCCUGAUGCGCUGCCGCUCCGCGCCGCAGAACCGCUCGUCCCCGCUCACCUCCAGGUUCGCCGCCGGCGCCGCGCCGUCGCCGGUCCAGGAAGCGGCCGAUUUCGCGGUGGAGUCGAUCGCCGCGACGCCACCUCGGGCGUCGCCCUCUCCGCGCAAGCCGGACAUGGUGUCACCUUGGGCGUCCCCCUCCCCGCGCAAGCCGGACAUGCUGUCACCUUGGGCGUCUCCCUCCCGGCGCAAGCCGGACAUGUUGCAGUCACCACGGGCGUCGCCAUCUCCCCGCAAGCCGGACAUGGUGUCCGCGGAAAGCAACGACGAGAAGCGGCAAGAAAUGGCAGUAUCCACGCAGGAAGACGAGGAAAAGAUGGUGGAACAAGAGCACGAAGCCGACGACGACGACGAGGAGGAUGACGAAGCGGAAGAGAUGAGGUGCUCGUCGGCGCGGCCGCUGGUGCUGCAGAGGUGCAAGUCGGAGCCGGCGACGACCGCGGCGGCGAAGAUGGCCGCCGGGGCCGGGGCCGAGGGGGCGCCGUCCGGCUGCUUCUGGGCCAACGGCGGGAGCAGCGGCCGGCGGAGGCACGCGCCGCAGAUGUCGCCGGCGGCCGCCGCUCCGGUGGCUUUGACCGGUCACUGA
RNAcentral lists this ribosomal RNA (1314 nucleotides) under Triticum aestivum (bread wheat). Its description in RNAcentral is "partial small subunit ribosomal RNA". The record is from RNAcentral. Lineage: Eukaryota; Viridiplantae; Streptophyta; Magnoliopsida; Poales; Poaceae.